AGCAGCGUGGCUCAGUGGAAAGAGCCCGGUCUUGGGAGCCAGAGGUCAUGGGUUCAAAUCCCGCCCCUGCCA
This 72-nucleotide transfer RNA is filed under the name Ornithorhynchus anatinus (platypus). It matches the Rfam family "tRNA". From Rfam's summary of the family: Transfer RNA (tRNA) molecules are approximately 80 nucleotides in length. Their secondary structure includes four short double-helical elements and three loops (D, anti-codon, and T loops). Further hydrogen bonds mediate the characteristic L-shaped molecular structure. tRNAs have two regions of fundamental functional importance: the anti-codon, which is responsible for specific mRNA codon recognition, and the 3' end, to which the tRNAs corresponding amino acid is attached (by aminoacyl-tRNA synthetases). tRNAs cope with the degeneracy of the genetic code in two manners: having more than one tRNA (with a specific anti-codon) for a particular amino acid; and 'wobble' base-pairing, i.e. permitting non-standard base-pairing at the 3rd anti-codon position. The record is from Rfam by way of RNAcentral. Lineage: Eukaryota; Metazoa; Chordata; Mammalia; Monotremata; Ornithorhynchidae.